AGUUUUAUAGUUUAUUAAAACAUUAAAUUGCAAAUUUAAAAAUAGAAUAAUAAUUCUUAAAACUU
This 65-nucleotide transfer RNA is filed under the name Stomis pumicatus. RNAcentral describes it as "tRNA-Cys". It matches the Rfam family "tRNA". Rfam says of the family: Transfer RNA (tRNA) molecules are approximately 80 nucleotides in length. The record is from RNAcentral. Lineage: Eukaryota; Metazoa; Arthropoda; Insecta; Coleoptera; Carabidae.